CCUACGGGGGGCAGCAGUGGGGAAUAUUGCACAAUGGGGGAAACCCUGAUGCAGCGACGCCGCGUGAGUGAAGAAGUAAUUCGUUAUGUAAAGCUCUAUCAGCAGGGAAGAAAAUGACGGUACCGGAGUAAGAAGCCCCGGCGAACUACGUGCCAGCAGCCGCGGUAAUACGUAGGGGGCAAGCGUUAUCGGGAUUUACUGGGUGGAAAGGGAGCGUAGACGGGUGGGCAAGUCUGGAGUGAAAGGCGGGGGCUCAACCCCCGUACUGCUCUGGAAACUGUACGGCUGGAGUGCAGGAGAGGUAAGUGGAAUUCCUAGUGUAGCGGUGAAAUGCGUAGAUAUUAGGAGGAACACCAGUGGCGAAGGCGGCUUACUGGACUGUAACUGACGUUGAGGCUCGAAAGCGUGGGGAGCAAACAGGAUUAGAUACCCUAGUAGUC
Molecule: ribosomal RNA, 440 nt
Filed under: uncultured bacterium
Lineage: Bacteria
Description: partial 16S ribosomal RNA
Rfam family: Bacterial small subunit ribosomal RNA
Source: RNAcentral